Molecule: non-coding RNA, 3119 nt
Organism: Phalacrocorax carbo (great cormorant)
Lineage: Eukaryota; Metazoa; Chordata; Aves; Suliformes; Phalacrocoracidae
Source: RefSeq, a predicted model, not a curated record
CCGGGCAUGGGGUCCUGGGAUCCAGAGGUCGUGGGGCCAUGGGGCCCUGGGAUCCAGGGGCAUGGAGUCCUGGGGGCAUGGGGUCCUGGGACCCAGGGGGCAUGGGGUCCUGGGUGCGUGGGGUCCCAGGGCCGUGUUGUCCAAGGGGCAUGAGGGUAUGGGGUGCAGAGAGCAUAGGGUCCCGGGGACAUGGGGUCCUGAGUCUGUGGGGUCCGGGGCACACAGGGACCUGGAUACAUGGCGUCUUGGGGGCACGGCAUCUGCGACACAGGGAGACCUGUGCACAGGGGCUUUGGGACACCCGGGCUCCUGGGCAUAGGAGGCUGCAGACGUGCAGUGCCCCAGGCACACGGGGGCCCGGGCGGGCAGUGUCACACCUCCCUGCCUGCCCUGGCAGGUCCUAGCCUGGUCCAUGCCAGUUCCCGGCUGGCCCUCUCCCUGCCCCCCACGGGUGGCUCUGGCCGGAGGGUGACACUGCCCUUCAGCCAGCGCCGGCUGUGGGCUCCCAUGCCUGUGCACACAUGUGCUUGCGGCUCUCACUCCACUCUUGGAUAGUGACAUUUGCCUGCAGGCCUGAUAGUCACCCAUCAGGUUUUGGCUAUGGAAGAGUGAGGAGGUCGUUGUGGUGUGGGGUGAGCCUGGCACUGCCAGCCAGCCCUGCACCAGGGACUCCCCCCUGGGGCACCUGCAGUCCCUUGGCUGUAAAAUUUGUGUGUGUCGGUAACAGCCAUGCACUGGUAAAGCAUGGUGAAUGCAGGUGCUGUCAUUACAGAGAUCUCCUCUCUCAUAAGGCCUCCUUACAGACAGGAAAUCAUGGGAUCUUCUGCAUCCUUACCCCCUCCAACACAGCCUCACCUGCCUGUGCCUCACUGCCCAUCACUGACGGCAGUGGUACCCACUGCAUCUGUGUGCCGCCUGCUCCGGGAGACGGCCCUGCCCGACCAUGAAUCCCAAAACCUUUCCCUGCUGUUGCUGGGACAUUGCAAUCGAUUUGGAUGCCCACCAUGGUGAUGAGCCAGGUUGCCCACCCCUUUCUACGCAUCUUCCACACAUGCCUGGAAUCUCAAAUCACUUUGGAUAAAAGACACAGAAGAUUUUCUGGGAAGUGGGAAAGUAGUUCCAUUUGAGAAACAGGACGGCUGAAGAAGCUGCAGUGAAUCAGCAGUGAUCUGGGUUGGGGCAUUGCUCUUUUCUGAAACCAUCAGACAACAUCACUGUGUUCAGGAAAGGAGUCGUGGCCUUGAAACCUGUUCCCACCACUCACCCCUACACUGUCUCUCUCAGCACCCACCUCUUCUUCCUCCUCAGUCUUCUUUUGUAUUACAGGCAUUCUCUACUUGCCUGACUUUAUAUGAGUCAUCAUUUCACAUCGAGCCUGAGCUGCCUAUAACCCUGGCUGGUUUGAUUUCUGUGCUGCGUUACAGAGUCAGCUCCAUCCUGACCCACAGCAUGAAAGAAAAGCUGCUUUGGAAACAGCAAAGUGAACAAGCCUUCUCUUGUUACUCUUGUUUCCUGGCUGCUGCUGAGCAAAUGUGACACUCUUCCAAAAAUCUGCAUCCCAAAUGACUCUUGGGAGCCCAAGUGAGGCUCAGAAACACUUUGUUUUGUAAAGGAAAUCUCUCCACUGGCUUUUGAGGAAGUAUGUAUCGUGAGGGUUGACCGCUGCUGGACACCAGUGCUGGGUGAUGGGAGGCUGAAUAAAUGUCUCAGCUGGCAUCAUGGAUCUGUUGAGUUUGUCAGUAUCCACUGGUGGGAUAACCCAAUUUUUAAGGCUUUGAAACUUAUUUUUUAUUCUGGUUCCUUGACAGAGAAAAGUAGUCUGGUAGAAGUGAGGUGGGCAGCAAGGUGAUAUGGUCCUUCAGCUGUAGGUAUCUCACAGGCUCUCAGGGAUGGUCACAGGCUAUCAUCAGUGUCCUCUUUAUUUUGGCUAGGUUCACAGGCCACCUCUUGUUAAGCCUUGAUUUUGGCACCUGUAAUAAAUGAGCUACAUUCAUCCUUUCAGAAACUUAGGGAAACUCCCAGAGCUGCAGCAGAGAUUAAAUUUGAUCCAGUAUGUUACAGGGGGAAGCUGAAAAGUCUACUUGUCCCUUAAAAGAUGAAAAAGUACCUUUUGGGGAGCCUUUGUGUUUCAUAAGCAAGCAGAUGAGAGGGGUCAGAGAGCUCCUGGCACCAGUGGAUGACUGUGGCUUUCAGCUUGAUGUUGGUUGUUAAAAAUAUUAUCCCAGAUGUAUUAAUACGACCAGACUGGAUUGCAUCUGAGCUGAACAUUGUGAGCCUAAGGCAGGACGUAAAUAUAGAAGCAAAACAGCCUGACAUAAGAGUCAUCUGUCCUCUUCUACACAAGAAGUGAAGGGGAAAGAGAGGGAACUUACUCUGUUGCAAUUUUUAGACACUUCCAGGCAUUAGCCUGAGCCUUGGGGAGUGCCUACACUGGGGUCCUGGGGAACAGCAGACCCCUGCAUAUCCCUUGCUCAAAUCUAGUAUGCUGUGCCACAGGACUGUGCACUCAGCACAUUUUUAACCCGGGGUUAGAUUUGCCUAGACAAGGUCUGCAAUCAGGAAUGACUAUUUGUUUGAUGUGUUUGCCUAACAGGAUUACUCUUAUCAUAAUGAUAUAGCAACCUGGCCUUGGCAGAGCAAACCCCAAGGGCUCGAGGGGUCAAAUCCUCUCCUCCCUUGCCCCAAAUAUGCACAGUGUAUCUUGUCUCUGUUAUCAUGCAAUAUCCAACUGGUGCUUCGAUUGGCGUUCAGUGCUCUGCUUUUGGAAAGAGCAGUUGUGCCGUGUACUGCUGCCUGCUGACACCACGCUUGGCAUUUCUCUCUCCACACCUGAAAAAAAAAUCAAUAAUAUUAAAAGGUUAGAAAAAUGAUGUGAUGUUUUACUGCUAGAGAAUGAGAUGCUUUACCUGUGGGGAAUCGCUCUGGUCAGAUGCCUGAUUCACUUCAGUGGGAAUUUGUUGCCCACUGGCUCCCUAAGAGUAGAGCUAUAGGUAAUAAACCAAUGAGUUGUGCUUUUUUCAUUGUUUAUCAUGAACAUGCCUAAAAUAAUUACAAAAGCAUUUGUUUUUGUGUAAAAGUAUAUCUGUGAUUAUUAAAGUUUUAUGAUUUGAAAGAUUCAA